Molecule: long non-coding RNA, 1723 nt
Organism: Petromyzon marinus (sea lamprey)
Lineage: Eukaryota; Metazoa; Chordata; Hyperoartia; Petromyzontiformes; Petromyzontidae
Source: RefSeq, a predicted model, not a curated record
GCUGCCCUCCGGUCAGCCGUCGAUCCUCGGCUUCUUUGCCAAGUCAUAUCUGCAGCAGUGCUACAUCGUGCUGUCUGCUGUGGAAGAAGUUGAACAUACAUACUGUACAUACGUGACGGACAUCACCUACAAGUUCAGCUCAUGGCGGAUUUAGACAACAUGUAAAAUGAGAUCAUUGGCUACAACAAAGUUAAGUAAAAAAAAAAUAAUGGACAAUUGUUUUUACAUUUAUCCUGCAGCAGCCAUGAUCAUUCUACUGCUGGAUGAAAACCUCCUCGACUCGUUACAAUGUUUCGGAAUUUCCUUCCUUUCUAUAGGAAAGACAAUUUAUCACAGAGGUAUCGUGUCACGCCAAAGUACCGAUAUUAUCGAAUCAUAACCUUAACCACCCUUGCAAAAUGUUAAUUAUGAAUGUAUUAAAAGUUAAGACUGAGGAAUGCAGAUAAAUUACAACUUCAAACGGUGCGGUGACACAACGUUCCCUGUGGAAAUUUAAACCUUAAACACGUGCAUGGAAACAUGAAAAUACUCCUUUGAUUGACCAAUAUCCAUUUACACGACUCAAUGCCCGGCAUACAGACUUCAUCCCUGCAGCGAGAGACAGCUCACGGGAAGGACUCUAUUGACACCGUCAUUUGCAUUUCUUGUUGAUGAAAAUUGUUUUGUUUUCCCAUCGGUCAGAUGCACACACAAUUUGGACCAUUGUUCGUAUUCGAGCUUCUCAUUCCAUUGGAAUGACAUGCAGAUAGAUAGAUAAGUGGGUAAUUUAUUUAUUUUUCACCACUUAACAAGAGCUUAAAUUGUCUUCGUAUAUAUAUUUUUUACAGACAGUCUUAAUUUGCGCGCGUUUUGGCUUGGUUCAUACUUACGUGUUGCUCAAAAGCUGACACGCACAAACAUUACGGCGUUGCAUCCUUUCGUUUGAGCAGAGCCGACGUUAGGGGAUGGCAUGAAUCAUAUAAAAAAGGGCUUUGCUCUCAAUGUCCCUUGCAUGACUGAGCCUUUAGUUAACUCUGAGCUGGGAGAAUUUCUUACCAAAUCCUAAGACUCUGCCCCGGUGUCAAGUAAGGUCUCCUGCAUUGCACAAUUCAAAAGGUUCUGUGAGGUGGCAGCGUUUUGCUCGCUUGCCCCAUUAUGCACGGGAGGAUGUGAGAUACACAAAGCCGCUCCUUUUUUUUCUUCUUCUUCUUCUUCUCUCGAGAAACGUAACAGACGACUCUCGUCUGUUACGUUUCUCGUCUGUUAUACACAUGAAAUGCGGGUUGCGUCGUGCACCAAAAUCAAAUCACCGCAGCCACAAUUUUCCUUGUGCGCAUUACUUUUGACAUGGAAUUUCUCGGCGCUUAAACGACUCCGUGGUUCAUCUGUAAUAAUAUAUACUGCGAGGUAGAAAGUGUGAAUUCCAUCAAUUUGGAAAAUAAGGACGGCACAAUGAAUGUGAUGCUGUGACUGUGAUUCUGGAGGUGUUAGCUACGGGAGAGAAAGAAUGUACGGUUUGCUGCGAGUCGAGUUUUUUUUUCCUCAUGGCCUUGUAAUUUUUCAAGCAAAUUGGUCCGAUUGAUGUCAUAAGCCUCAUUAUAUUUCUGUGUUUAAAUUGCAAUUAUAAUUCCCGCGUUACAUGUGUUUCGUGGCAUGUAUACAGUUACUUAUUUCAAUGUUCAGCGCUCUAAGAAAUUGUUGAAUCUUGUUGAUGUUAUAACAGUAUUAAAAUUAGAAAAAUGUA